Long non-coding RNA from Harpegnathos saltator (Jerdon's jumping ant), 1015 nucleotides. RefSeq lists it as uncharacterized. The transcript is spliced from 3 exons. Lineage: Eukaryota; Metazoa; Arthropoda; Insecta; Hymenoptera; Formicidae. The record is from RefSeq and is a predicted model, not a curated record.
AGUGUACACUUUUCACAGAGUUCAGUCCUGAAGUAUGGAAAAAGAACAAACCUAAGAGCAUUUCAGUGUUAUAGGAAGAAAGAAGAAGGACUAACGAAAGACAAAGAGCUUGUGGCGUCAUAAUAUUGACAUUUACGUACAUUUCUUCAAGAUGGUGUUCAAGAUGGUGUGGAAGUGUUGUGUUCCGCAAUGUAAGUCCAUAUCUCAAAUAUCAGUACAUCACUUCCCAGAGGAUGCAUCGAAAAGGGAAUAUUAGCUAACAGCUAUAGGCAAAACUGAUUUGAUCGGUGCGCCUAAAUAAACAUUGGCCAAAUUGAGAAUCUGUACAGAACAUUUUCCAGAAAAUAUAGUACAGCCUUAUGGAUCUAGGCGACGCCUAAUCAAUAAUGCUGUACCAACAUUACAUUUGCCUUUAAAUUUUGAACAGCAUGUUGAUAUUAACGAUAACGAUAAUAUUUGUGAGCAUGUUAGUGUAGUAGAAAAUGUUCCAAACAAUUCUGCUCUUGUGCCACUGCCCAUAAACAUGUGUGAAGAGACAGCAAGAAAAAAUGAAGAAGAAAAAAUCUAUGUUUUAAGAAGAAACUUCCCUGGUAGCAGACUGACGUCAAAUAACGUACUAAUGACGUCUUAUUGACGUUAGAGACGUCAUUAAGACGUCAUUAGUACGUCAUUUGACGUCAGUUUGCUACCUGGGUUGAGGACACAAUGGAAGAUGUUACACAAUAAGAAGAGGAUUAUUUAUCACUAGCAUCAGAGGAUCAACAGACUGCGAUGUGGGAAUACAUGGGAUGACAUCACGAAGGACAUGUCAAAUAUACAGAAGACUUUCUUCCAAAUGUUGACGAUAAAUUAAAAAUGUUCUCCACAAGUAUGUUUCAUUUCAUUAUUAUUAUGUUAAUAUUAUUUCUAUAAAAAAAAAAAUCAUUUUUUCUCAUUCACUAAUGAAAUUCUAUUCACUAAUGAAAACAUCUGCACAAUGUUUUAUAUAUAAAUGAAUCUUAUUUUACUGUGUGUA